Molecule: long non-coding RNA, 1028 nt
Filed under: Androctonus crassicauda
Lineage: Eukaryota; Metazoa; Arthropoda; Arachnida; Scorpiones; Buthidae
Source: RNAcentral
GCGUUAAUUCGGUAAGUAUAAACAAAGAGACGAAAAACGACGUUAUGGGAUCGAAACCGGGUGUGAAAAAUUUAAAUUCGGAUUAUUUAUAUAAUUUGCGCACAAUCGAAACGUUACAUAAAAUCAAUCGACCGUGGUAAACGGAUCGAUACUGUUAGAAGGUGUAUCGAUAUUUUUGUGGCCUGGAGCGUUAAAGACAAACAAAAAGCGUACAGAACAGGAAGAUAUAGGAGAGAGAGAGAGAGAGAGCUACAGGUAUAUGGAAGACGGUGGUAAGUUGCUUAGCUGCUUUCACUGUCCUAGGACGGUGUCACGUGACUUUGUUUACGUUCGUCGCUUGCAACAACGACGAACGCUACUCCAAGUUUCGGACGCAGGCUCCGAUAAACUGCACAAAACGCAUUAUUUGAAGAUUAAAAGUCGACGUUUAAUAAUUUUAUUAGCAUCCCGAAACUAUUGUGUGGCGUAGAGCCCUAUCUGUGAUGACCCAAUUCCGUUGUUGCAAGCGACCCGACUAACCCACUUUCGCGCUUGCUCACUGUGGACGAAAGUGAAGUUGGCCGAAGCCUGGAAGCCCUUGUCCUUGAUUCAGCCGGCAUAACGCGUGUUAUAAUGCUAUAGGAUUUUCGUGUCUGGUCAACGUUCGAAUGUCCACUCUCCCUGGCAACCCGCCGACGCCUGACAGUGUGUUAACGAGAUACUGAGAAGACGUCACACAACGGACACACAACUAACUACUAACUCGCACAACACUCGGAUGGUGUGUGUACGGGGAAGGGACGCAAUGGAGACCGCGGCCGUACUCGUGUCUGUCAGUGAGGUAUUGUGAGUUGUACUCGCCCGAUUUUUUUUUUUAACCCCUGUUAACGUUUCGACCCGGUUCUACUAUGUGAUUUGGUAAUACAAGAUGAGCUGCGAACCCACCACCAGCACUGCAACUUCUACCGACGUAUCAGCUACUCCAUCGAUGUUGUCUGGACCGACCCCUACACCGACGGAGUACCAUCACGACACUCCGGACACGAAAG